AGGAUGAACGCUGGCGGCGUGCCUAAAACAUGCAAGUCAUACGGGCUACCUUCGGGUAGCCAGUGGCAAACGGGUGAGUAACACGCGGGAACGCGCCUUGGGGUGGGAAUAACGCUGAGAAAUCAGUGCUAAUACCGCAUACGGUCUAACGACUAAAGCAGCAAUGCGCCCCGAGAGCGGCCCGCGACCGAUUAGCUAGUUGGUGGGGUAAUGGCCUACCAAGGCGGUGAUCGGUAGCUGGUCUGAGAGGAUGGUCAGCCACACUGGGACUGCGAACGGCCCAGACUCCUACGGGAGGCAGCAGUUAGGAAUUUUCGGCAAUGGACGAAAGUCUGACCGAGCGACGCCGCGUGGAGGAUGACGCCUUUCGGGGUGUAAACUCCUUUUCUGCGGGAAGAUAAUGACGGUACCGCAGGAAUAAGCACCGGCUAACUACGUGCCAGCAGCCGC
This 450-nucleotide ribosomal RNA is filed under the name uncultured bacterium. RNAcentral's name for it is "SSU rRNA". It matches the Rfam family "Bacterial small subunit ribosomal RNA", at positions 26 to 518 of the family's 1533-position model. The record is from RNAcentral.